RNAcentral lists this ribosomal RNA (274 nucleotides) under uncultured bacterium. RNAcentral describes it as "partial 16S ribosomal RNA". It matches the Rfam family "Bacterial small subunit ribosomal RNA", at positions 523 to 796 of the family's 1533-position model. The record is from RNAcentral.
AUACAGAGGGUGCAAGCGUUAAUCGGAAUUACUGGGCGUAAAGCGCGCGUAGGCGGUUUGUUAAGUUGGAUGUGAAAGCCCCGGGCUUAACCUGGGAGGGUCAUUCAAAACUGUCAGACUAGAGUGUGGUAGAGGGUAGUGGAAUUCCUAGUGUAGCGGUGAAAUGCGUAGAGAUUAGGAGGAACACCAGUGGCGAAGGCGACUGCCUGGACCAACACUGACGCUGAGGUGCGAAAGCGUGGGUAGCGAACAGGAUUAGAAACCCGAGUAGUCC